This 253-nucleotide unclassified non-coding RNA is filed under the name uncultured Nitriliruptoraceae bacterium. RNAcentral describes it as "contains 16S-23S intergenic spacer region". It matches the Rfam family "Bacterial small subunit ribosomal RNA", at positions 524 to 776 of the family's 1533-position model. Lineage: Bacteria; Bacillati; Actinomycetota; Nitriliruptoria; Nitriliruptorales; Nitriliruptoraceae. The record is from RNAcentral.
UACGUAGGGGGCAAGCGUUGUCCGGAAUCAUUGGGCGUAAAGGGCGCGCAGGCGGCCCAGUAAGUCGGGUGUGAAAGUCCGAGGCUCAACUUCGGAAACGCACUCGGUACUGCUGGGCUUGAGGAAGGUAGAGGAGAGUGGAAUUCCCGGUGUAGCGGUGGAAUGCGCAGAUAUCGGGAGGAACACCAGCGGCGAAGGCGGCUCUCUGGGCCUCUCCUGACGCUGAGGCGCGAAAGCGUGGGUAGCAAACAGG